GAUGAACGCUGGCGGCGUGUUUAACACAUGCAAGUCGAGCGAGAAGUUUUGAAAAGAUUCUUCGGAUGCAAUUUAAAAUGGAAAGCGGCGGACGGGUGAGUAACGCGUAGGCAACCUGCCCCAUACAAAGGGAUAGCAUUUGGAAACGAAUAUUAAUACCUUAUGAAACUUAACUAGUGCAUGCUAGGUAGGUCAAAGAUUUAUCGGUAUGGGAUGGGCCUGCGUCUGAUUAGCUAGUUGGUGAGGUAACGGCUCACCAAGGCGACGAUCAGUAGCCGACCUGAGAGGGUGAACGGCCACAUUGGAACUGAGACACGGUCCAAACUCCUACGGGAGGCAGCAGUGGGGAAUAUUGCACAAUGGGGGAAACCCUGAUGCAGCAACGCCGCGUGAACGAUGAAGGCCUUUGGGUCGUAAAGUUCUGUUCUAGGUGAUGAAAACUGACAGUAACCUAGGAGAAAGCCCCGGCUAACUCCGUG
RNAcentral lists this ribosomal RNA (479 nucleotides) under uncultured bacterium. Its description in RNAcentral is "partial 16S ribosomal RNA". It matches the Rfam family "Bacterial small subunit ribosomal RNA", at positions 28 to 507 of the family's 1533-position model. The record is from RNAcentral.